Molecule: ribosomal RNA, 1181 nt
Filed under: uncultured bacterium
Lineage: Bacteria
Description: partial 16S ribosomal RNA
Rfam family: Bacterial small subunit ribosomal RNA
Source: RNAcentral
GGCGGGGUGCAUGCUACUCGCCGCCAUGGCGGCCGCGGGAAUUCGAUUAGAGUUUGAUCAUGGCUCAGGAUGAACGCUAGCGGCAGGCCUAAUACAUGCAAGUCGGACGGGAUUGGAGAGCUUGCUUUCCAUGAGAGUGGCGCACGGGUGCGUAACACGUAUGUAACCUACCUUGUUCAGGGGGAUAGCCUCUCGAAAGAGAGAUUAAGACCGCAUAACAUCAUUUAAUAGCAUUAUUGAAUGAUCAAAUAUUUAUAGGAACAAGAUGGGCAUGCGGGACAUUAGCUAGUUGGCGGGGUAACGGCCCACCAAGGCGACGAUGUCUAGGGGAUCUGAGAGGAUGACCCCCCACACUGGUACUGAGACACGGACCAGACUCCUACGGGAGGCAGCAGUAAGGAAUAUUGGUCAAUGGGCGAAAGCCUGAACCAGCCAUGCCGCGUGCAGGAAGACGGCCCUACGGGUUGUAAACUGCUUUUGCAGGGGAAUAAACCCCGGUACGUGUACCGGGCUGAAUGUACUCUGAGAAUAAGGAUCGGCUAACUCCGUGCCAGCAGCCGCGGUAAUACGGAGGAUCCAAGCGUUAUCCGGAUUUAUUGGGUUUAAAGGGUGCGUAGGCGGCCUAUUAAGUCAGGGGUGAAAGACGGUAGCUUAACUCUCGCAGUGCCUUUGAUACUGAUGGGCUUGAAUACACUAGAGGUAGGCGGAAUGUGACAAGUAGCGGUGAAAUGCAUAGAUAUGUCACAGAACACCAAUUGCGAAGGCAGCUUACUAUGGUGUGAUUGACGCUGAGGCACGAAAGCGUGGGGAUCAAACAGGAUUAGAUACCCUGGUAGUCCACGCCCUAAACGAUGAACACUCGAUGUUAGCGAUAUACAGUUAGCGUCUAAGCGAAAGCGUUAAGUGUUCCACCUGGGGAGUACGCCCGCAAGGGUGAAACUCAAAGGAACUGACGGGGGCCCGCACAAGCGGAGGAGCAUGUGGUUUAAUUCGAUGAUACGCGAGGAACCCUUACCCCGGGCUUGAAAGUUAGUGAAUGAUACAGAGGACGUAUCAGGUCCUCGGACACGAAACUAGUGCUGCAUGCCUGUCCGUCAGCUCGUGCGUUGAGGUGUUGGGUUCAGUCCCGCACGAGCGCCAACCCUAUGUUUAGUGGCCAGCCACGUUAGGUGGGGCACAUC